AACAGCUCAAAUUUGAAAUCUGGCCUCGGCCCGAGUUGUAAUUUGCAGAGGAUGCUUUUGGUGCGGUGCCUUCCGAGUUCCCUGGAACGGGACGCCACAGAGGGUGAGAGCCCCGUAUGGUCGGACACCAAUCCUGUGUAAAGCUCCUUCGACGAGUCGAGUAGUUUGGGAAUGCUGCUCUAAAUGGGAGGUAAAUCUCUUCUAAAGCUAAAUACCGGCCAGAGACCGAUAGCGCACAAGUAGAGUGAUCGAAAGAUGAAAAGCACCUUGAAAAGGGGGUUAAACAGUACGUGAAAUUGUUGAAAGGGAAGCACUUGUGACCAGACUUGGGCCGGGCGGCUCAUCAGGGGUUCUCCCCUGUGCAUUCCGCCCGGUACAGGCCAGCAUCGGUUCUUACCGGGGGAUAAGAACGGCAGGAACGUGGCUCCCUCUCGGGGGAGUGUUAUAGCCUGCCGUACGAUACCCUGGCGGGGACCGAGGUUCGCGCUUCCGCAAGGAUGCUGGCGUAAUGGUUACUAGUGACCCGUCUUGAAACACGGACCAAGGAGUCGUCCAUUAGAGCGAGCGUUUGGGUGUAAAACCCGCACGCGUAAUGAAAGUGAAAUUAGGUGAGAGCUUCGGCGCAUCAUCGACCGAUCCUGAUGUUCUCGGAUGGAUUUGAGUAAGAGUUUUAACGGACGGACCCGAAAGACAGUGAACUAUGCUUGUAUAGGGUGAAGCCAG
This 723-nucleotide ribosomal RNA is filed under the name Tubakia californica. RNAcentral describes it as "eukaryotic LSU rRNA". It matches the Rfam family "Eukaryotic large subunit ribosomal RNA", at positions 103 to 855 of the family's 3401-position model. Lineage: Eukaryota; Fungi; Ascomycota; Sordariomycetes; Diaporthales; Tubakiaceae. The record is from RNAcentral.